UGCGUAGGGGGCAAGCGUUGUCCGGAAUCACUGGGCUUAAAGCGUGUGUAGGCGGAUCGUUAAGUACCUUGUGAAAUCCCACGGCUUAACCGUGGAACGGCUGGGUAUACUGGCGAUCUUGAGCCACCUAGGGGCGAGCGGAACAAAUGGCGGAGCGGUGAAAUGCGUAGAUAUCAUUUGGAACGCCAACGGUGAAAACAGCUCGCUGGGGGUGUGCUGACGCUGAGACACGAAAGCCAGGGGAGCGAACGGG
RNAcentral lists this ribosomal RNA (253 nucleotides) under uncultured bacterium. RNAcentral's name for it is "partial 16S ribosomal RNA". It matches the Rfam family "Bacterial small subunit ribosomal RNA", at positions 524 to 776 of the family's 1533-position model. The record is from RNAcentral.